UUUUUUUCAAAAAAUUCGACAAAGUUUAAACGCAGACCGCGAGGAAGACCAAAAUUGAACAGUUACGCAAAACUAAAUAUCUACGUUACCGCUUGCUCAUUAUGGAAGUGGGGUAACAUGAGACUUUAUUUGUAAAAGUACAAGUACAAAUAAAAAAAAAUUGUGUACAUGUACAUGUUAUUUGUACAAAAGUUGGCUGAUAGAAUGAUAAAUGGAGAUAUGUGAUAUGCAAUUUAUAAGAUAGCAACAGCUGGGCAUUAAUUAAACUGACAUCAACACCUUGAAGACAUCAAGAAAAUCGUGACUAAUGCUAAUUGGAAUAGUAUCUUUACACUUCUUAUUUGUAGUUUUAGUAAACGUUGGAAAAUUUUGAGUAUGUGUAGUAUAAUUGUCACAGUAACAUUUCAGUCUCUUGGUAAAUAUUAGUUUAAGUCUUAAAACUUUUGCUCUUCUCUAGAAAAUUCAAACCAUAAUGAAAUAUAAGGAGAUGCGGUAAAAUUUCCAAUUAAUCAACUUUCCACCAAAGACGAAAUGACGGAAAUGCUAGCCUUCUUACAUUGCUACUACAUUUCAGAUCUCCAAAUUACCAUUCCAUUAUAUGAACUGCAUAUUCAAAAAUAUGCAUUGUCACCAAAUUACUUAUAGAGCACGUAUCAUCAUAUUGUUUAACAUUUGUCCGUUCGACCGUUAAUCCCGCACUUAGUAUAUAUAGGGUUAAUUCGGCUAAUUAUUUAGGACUACAGUCGUUUUGCUUCAGCUUUAAAACUAUGUACCUGGUGUUACUACUCAUAUUAUAGGUGCGCAUAUCGUCUGGAUUUUCUUUUUUGUUUCAUGACAGGUUGCUGGAUUAGGCAUUUUGAUAAAAUACAAAGGCACACAGAGUACAGACUCCGGCUUACAUCUGAUACAGGUUGAAUUUCAAGCUGGAACUUUUAAAUUUCGCAGUUGUUUUACUUAUAUAAAGAAUGCAUAUAUGAUCUCAAGAUUUGUUAUGUAAAUAAUUUUUUCACAAAUGACAGAAUGUUGAAAUUUGUGAAAUUUUGCAUACAGUUUGCUAACCCGAAUAAUUCAGUCCCUCCCCGUAAUCGAUCUCUCCUACUUACUUAAUGUAGUAAGCGGAAUAUAACGACUGAAUUAUUCGGGUUAACAGUUUGCAAGGUUUGUCCGACUUGCUGAGCAAACAAGUAACACAUUUACACCACGCA
This 1205-nucleotide long non-coding RNA is filed under the name Mytilus galloprovincialis (Mediterranean mussel). Lineage: Eukaryota; Metazoa; Mollusca; Bivalvia; Mytilida; Mytilidae. The record is from RNAcentral.